Molecule: long non-coding RNA, 272 nt
Filed under: Elaeis guineensis (African oil palm)
Lineage: Eukaryota; Viridiplantae; Streptophyta; Magnoliopsida; Arecales; Arecaceae
Description: long non-coding RNA (EGUI_LNC038124)
Source: RNAcentral
ACCAUCACUUCAUCUCAGCUGGAUGAUUUAGCUCGAGAGAUAGAGAGACUCCAUAGCCAGCUUCGUUCUUCUCUUGAGUUGAUUCGGAUAGACAUCAAAGAUUUUGGAGACUUCAUAUCUACUAAUCUAGAUGGGCUCUGAGUUACAGUGAGGAAGAUCUUGUCCCAGCUUGAUGCCAUUAGGACUCAGCUUCAGUCUAGGCCCUUUGCAUCUAGUGAGCCAGCCUUUGUUCAGCCAUUGCUUUUCAUCCUCCGGCAUCUUUCUCUCGGACC